UUCCCUCUGGCGGCAUGCCUUACACAUGCAAGUCGAACGGCAGCAUGAUCUAGCUUGCUAGAUUGAUGGCGAGUGGCGAACGGGUGAGUAAUACAUCGGAACGUGCCCUGUAGUGGGGGAUAACUAGUCGAAAGAUUAGCUAAUACCGCAUACGACCUGAGGGUGAAAGUGGGGGACCGCAAGGCCUCAUGCUAUAGGAGCGGCCGAUGUCUGAUUAGCUAGUUGGUGAGGUAAAGGCUCACCAAGGCGACGAUCAGUAGCUGGUCUGAGAGGACGAUCAGCCACACUGGGACUGAGACACGGCCCAGACUCCUACGGGAGGCAGCAGUGGGGAAUUUUGGACAAUGGGCGAAAGCCUGAUCCAGCAAUGCCGCGUGUGUGAAGAAGGCCUUCGGGUUGUAAAGCACUUUUGUCCGGAAAGAAAUGGCUCUGGUUAAUACCUGGGGUCGAUGACGGUACCGGAAGAAUAAGGACCGGCUAACUACGUG
Molecule: ribosomal RNA, 488 nt
Filed under: uncultured bacterium
Lineage: Bacteria
Description: partial 16S ribosomal RNA
Rfam family: Bacterial small subunit ribosomal RNA
Source: RNAcentral